This 492-nucleotide ribosomal RNA is filed under the name uncultured bacterium. RNAcentral describes it as "partial 16S ribosomal RNA". It matches the Rfam family "Bacterial small subunit ribosomal RNA", at positions 29 to 507 of the family's 1533-position model. The record is from RNAcentral.
AGUGAACGCUGGCGGUAGGCCUAACACAUGCAAGUCGAACGGCAGCACAGUAAGGGCUUGCUCUUACGGGUGGCGAGUGGCGGACGGGUGAGGAAUACAUCGGAAUCUACUUUUUCGUGGGGGAUAACGUAGGGAAACUUACGCUAAUACCGCAUACGACCUACGGGUGAAAGCAGGGGAUCUUCGGACCUUGCGCGAUUGAAUGAGCCGAUGUCGGAUUAGCUAGUUGGCGGGGUAAAGGCCUACCAAGGCGACGAUCCGUAGCUGGUCUGAGAGGAUGAUCAGCCACACUGGAACUGAGACACGGUCCAGACUCCUACGGGAGGCAGCAGUGGGGAAUAUUGGACAAUGGGCGCAAGCCUGAUCCAGCCAUACCGCGUGGGUGAAGAAGGCCUUCGGGUUGUAAAGCCCUUUUGUUGGGAAAGAAAAGCAGCAGGUUAAUACCCCGCUGUUCUGACGGUACCCAAAGAAUAAGCACCGGCUAACUUCGUG